GAUGAACGCUGGCGGCGUGCCUAAUACAUGCAAGUCGAGCGAACAGAUAAGGAGCUUGCUCCUUUGACGUUAGCGGCGGACGGGUGAGUAACACGUGGGUAACCUACCUAUAAGACUGGAAUAACUCCGGGAAACCGGGGCUAAUGCCGGAUAACAUUUAGAACCGCAUGGUUCUAAAGUGAAAGAUGGUUUUGCUAUCACUUAUAGAUGGACCCGCGCCGUAUUAGCUAGUUGGUAAGGUAGCGGCUUACCAAGGCAACGAUACGUAGCCGACCUGAGAGGGUGAUCGGCCACACUGGAACUGAGACACGGUCCAGACUCCUACGGGAGGCAGCAGUAGGGAAUCUUCCGCAAUGGGCGAAAGCCUGACGGAGCAACGCCGCGUGAGUGAUGAAGGUCCUCGGAUCGUAAAACUCUGUUAUUAGGGAAGAACAAAUGUGUAAGUAACUGUGCACGUCUUGACGGUACCUAAUCAGAAAGCCACGGCUAACUACGUG
Molecule: ribosomal RNA, 497 nt
Filed under: uncultured bacterium
Lineage: Bacteria
Description: partial 16S ribosomal RNA
Rfam family: Bacterial small subunit ribosomal RNA
Source: RNAcentral